UGAACAACCUGUCAGGUAUUAAAUCUUGUGGAUGUUUCACAUGAAAGCUUUCACAAGCUGACCAUAAGGUGUGCGGCAUGCCCAUAUGCAGUAUGUAUGUGCGCUGCCAAAGCAGCUCAUACAUAUUGAAAAAGUACCUCUGGAAGCAUGGUUUAAAGUCUCUCAAUUAUGUAUCUGGUCAGAUGCUGUGUUUGCUCACACCUCAUUACACACACUCUCCUUUAUCCCACUUCUGUGGGAGAGGAACAGUAAAUGCCAGCCGCUCAUUUAGCCAGGAGUGGUUAACAUUUAGGAAAACAGUGAGGAAAAACAGAUGGUGAGGAGAGGCGUGAGGCAGAAAGAGACGUCCUACAUUUUGACAAAUGAAUCAUCGGCCUAAAUGCAGGUCUGACAACACAACCAAAAAAAGAAAUGUAGAAGAAGAAGAUAGAAAACCCCAUAAGAGGCAGUGGACAUGAACACGGUAUGACCAUGACUGAAAUAAGCUUUGCCAACCAAUGAGAUAAAGGAAAUCAGUCGCUCGUCCUCCCUUGUGUGACAGUGCCCUCAUGCACAGAAUGACUGCAUCGUUACGGUUACUGAUUGGAUUGAAGUCGGCAACUGAUCACAUCGUCAUGGUAACUAAUGGCAUUACCAAGCUAACUGAUCACUUUGUCUUAGAGACAGACACCGCUGGAAAAGAGAGUGGAAGGAGGAGACCCCUGAUUGCUAUGAAAUGUCUGUCUCUGUGUGUUUGUGUCCUUUUACAUUUUUCUGGUUAUGGAUAAACAAAGUAAACUGCACACGGGCGGGAGGUAAAUGAGCAUUCAGGAUGAUAAGUCGAUUUCCAAAUAACUUUUGAAGGGGCCGGAGAUGCUGGGCGUUCUGCAUGAGCGGUUAAGGUCAGAGCAGAAUCAGUCAUGCAAGUAAAGCACCAUCUCUACACUGUGGUGUUUCUGUAGUCCCAUCUGCACUCAUCUGGAGGUGCAUGCGUGGGUUACACUGAGGACUGCAGCGGGAGAGACAUUAAGUCUGAGUUGAGUUUGAGAACAGGAAGAGAGGUGAUGUUCAGCUGGGUCAUCUUGACCUUGGAUCAAGUAUGAAGUGUGUGUCAACCUGGCAACACAGCCUUGCAGCUUUACCUGGCUGUAGGACACUGAUGCCAAGUGGGUUGGAAGUGCGAUUGGCCACUCUGCUCCAGCUGUUGUCGUAGUUCCUCCUCCACAGGAC
Long non-coding RNA from Oreochromis niloticus (Nile tilapia), 1209 nucleotides. RefSeq lists it as uncharacterized. The record is from RefSeq and is a predicted model, not a curated record. The transcript has 3 exons. NCBI's taxonomy places the organism in Eukaryota, Metazoa, Chordata, Actinopteri, Cichliformes, Cichlidae.